Molecule: long non-coding RNA, 518 nt
Organism: Lacerta agilis (Sand lizard)
Lineage: Eukaryota; Metazoa; Chordata; Lepidosauria; Squamata; Lacertidae
Exons: 4
Source: RefSeq, a predicted model, not a curated record
UGAGCAUCCAACCCACCUAUUACAUAUUACUGAAGUCUCUUGAGGUGGCCGGCUGUGACUCGCAUCUUUGUGAAUUGACCCACUGUGUAGAAGAGUGAGUUGGCUGAGGACAAAAGUUCAGAGAGUAAGUUUCUGGUGAGAGGCCAUAACAACAGAAGCCAGAUUCAAAAUCUGAAUGCAGGGAUUUCAUAGGAAAAGAUGCAGUCACCCUCAAGGAAGUUUCAGUCUGCAAGUGAUUACUAGCUUAUUACAAAGUCUUUUCAGAUUCCCACAACUUGCAAUCACCUGGGAAAUACAAUGGUAUUUAAUAACUGGUAAAGUCUGGACAUACCUUCCCAGUAUGUUUAUUUUUCUGUAUAUCUUUUAUUCUCUCACCCAGAGCAGAUGUUAAGAUAUGGUGGCCAAGACACGCUGCCAGAAGAUAUCAGGUCAAAUCACUUAACUUUGUUUUGCUUCAAUCCCACAACUAAUUAAAUCACUUGUUUUUACAUUGAACCCUAAUAAAACACCGCUAGAUA